RNAcentral lists this long non-coding RNA (1529 nucleotides) under Olea europaea subsp. europaea. Lineage: Eukaryota; Viridiplantae; Streptophyta; Magnoliopsida; Lamiales; Oleaceae. The record is from RNAcentral.
GUACAGUAUUAUCUUUUGCAGAAUUUGUUCUUCUCUCUACGCACCUCAAAAUGCAGGUUUGGAUAGAGGGGCAGGUUAGCAUUUAUCCAUUUCGGUUUAUGCAUUAUCUAAAUUAGUGGCACUAUCUUUAUCCAAAUACAUUCCUGCAACCAAAUUUCCCAACUCCACUAACUUUGCACUUUCCUCAGCCACCAAUCCCCUGCCAUAUUCACUGCUAUAUCGACCUUGGCACUCACCAUCGCCAAACUGUUUUCACUCUCUUCUCUGUUUACAAUUAUAUUCCUUGAAUUUUAAUGUGCACUUGCAUUAAUUUGUAUCUGUAAAUUGUAGUGCAUGUUCAUAACCUCUUCAUAUUCGGCUACUUCUGCAUCAUUCCCAUGUAUCAAUGUGUGCGCGCGUAAAUUUUCUUGUGAUUGGUACCUUAUAUCAAUGGAUUCUUUCAAUCCAUUAGACUAUUGAUUUUCAUCCCUACUCUUAUCGACCAUCCAAAUUGCUUAAACAUCUAGUGCGUAUCUCUACAAGAUCAACUAAAUUUUAAUCAAAUUUUUGAAUUACUUAGUUUGGCUAUGCAUUCCAUGAUGAUUUUUCAAAUUGCUCUACCCCUCUUGAAUAUGUAAUUGUUGGAGACGGACGUCCAUUUGAUCCUGUUAGCACCAGUGUAAAGGACGAGCAUGUUAAGGAGAUUUGCAUUCACAUACUUAGCUUCAUUUCGUCUCCUUCUAAUUUCUGCAUUUUUUACAUUUGAGUAAGUCGUGAUUUGCUCAUUGUUAUGCAACUACUAUGGUUUCGGUAAGUCAUUGCUCUAUUCGUAUUUGCAUGCACGUGUUUUUAUUAACGGAAUAUAAAUAAUGCACCAAUAUUUCCAACAGUAACUGUGACGUGAACCUGGGUCUACAGGUGCAACACUAGCAUGUUGAACAUGAGCUCGUGCUAGUGUUGCUGCCGUGCUCAAGGGUCAAGCUGAGAGGGUAAGUUUUGAACGGAUGUCGUUCAGCAUUCAUUAUAAAUUUAAUCUGUUGCACUUGAUAAUGAUCAACUCUUGGUUGUCCUUUGCUUUGCCUUUGUGCACAGCUCUCAUUUUCUCCUACUUGUAUUUUUCUCACUCUUGAAAACAGAGUUGUACUGUCUUCUUGUCUGGAGGACCUCGGAAGUAAUCUUUCAUGGAUCAAUUCCACUCUACGUCCUUUGUUUUUAGAUCGAGAAGAGAAUUUUUUUGGGAAAUAAAGAAGCAGCUCCUAUUGGUUCUAGUGUUGUACUUCUAAACUUCGAGACAAGGGAUAAGUUUGGGUACCAUUGCUACAUACACUUUGAGUAAAAUCCAAACGUCGAAUCAAGUAUCCUCUAGAAAAGGGACUUGCUACUUUUGAGUCAGAUCAAACCUUAAAAUCAGUCUGCAAGAUAAAGUAUUCAAUGUGAUUAUAAGGCUAAAAUUCAAAAGUAAGAGUGAAAAGGUACUUGGGAGGUAAAUUUCGUUGUCACCUCUCCACUAAGAAGAGUACUUGUGACCUUGCCAAGUGGCUAAAGUAAAU